Cyprinus carpio carpio is the source of this 709-nucleotide long non-coding RNA. The record is from Ensembl. NCBI's taxonomy places the organism in Eukaryota, Metazoa, Chordata, Actinopteri, Cypriniformes, Cyprinidae.
AGAGAGCGAAACGCAAGGAACAAAGCUUUACCUUCGUAUGAGAGGAACGGGCCGUCCAGGAGGGUCAAGGCUGGAUCUUAUUCAGUUACAGGGAUGAAAGUAAAUAUAAAAGAUGGUGACGUUCAUGAUCACACUCUGAUCACAGCGACACGAGUCGCGCCAGUUUAUCCGUCAAACGCAGCUGAACCGAGUCGACCACAAAACUGACGGGAGAAAGACGGUGUCUGUAUCUGAACCCUUCCGAUGACCAACAGCUCAUAUCUGUGUCUGUAAGUCACUGAAAACACACAUGAACAGCCGCAUCACACAGGACCGCGUUCAUUCACACAGCAGUUCAAUCCACAGUGAGUUCGGGUGCAGUAUGUGGUUAUCACUCUCAUAAAUGACCGAAACGUGUGAACGCAGGACCGUUUUUAAUCAUGACUGUGGAUAGUGAGUGAUGAUGAUGCUUUCGAAACCUUUGCAAAUCCUUUGUUUCGAACCAGUGAUUCGGAGUGCGUAUCAACCUGCCAAAGUCACGUGACUUCAGUAAACAAGGUUUCAAAACGAUUCAACAUUUCAGUGUUUCACCACCAGAGGGCGAUGAUCUCUGUGAACGCGUGAACCAGUGUCUAUAGCUGAUCUUGGAACAAUUUAGAAAAUUUGUAGAAAUUUAAAUGACACAUUUGUAUACUAAAAAGAAAGAAUUGAAAAAAGAUCCUGAUUAUCC